This is a long non-coding RNA of Panicum virgatum (switchgrass), 465 nucleotides long. RefSeq lists it as uncharacterized. The transcript is spliced from 3 exons. Lineage: Eukaryota; Viridiplantae; Streptophyta; Magnoliopsida; Poales; Poaceae. The record is from RefSeq and is a predicted model, not a curated record.
UGUCAUUUGCUCUCUCAUUCACUUGGCUUGCUCUCUCUUUCUUCCUAAAGUUACCACGUGAAGCUUUGGCCACUCUUUGCCUUUUCGGUUUGGUUUUGGUUCGCUCGAUCUCCAACACAGGCGGGAGGCAGAGGAUCCAAUAUGAGUGCCACGAUGAGUUGCAGAGGCCCCAUCCAUGUGUCAGCCGUGUUCAUUCUCGUCGUGCUCUUUGUAUCGUCGCCAGCACAAUCAGCACGUCAUCGUCUAGAGCUUCCUCUGGCUGCAAGUAGUGAAGGUGAUGAUGCGAUGGCGGUCAAUUCCACUUCCACGGCCUUAGCCUUAGAUGAUGUGGCCGGAAAGUUUGAAGUGAUAUUUUGUAUCGAAAAAAGUGUGUGACAAUAAGCCGUGCUAUUGUUGCAUGGCCGCAAAGUCAUAUUACAAUUACUGUUACCGCACAAGGGAUGCCUGCAAGUCACAAUGCAGUGC